UACAGAGGUCUCAAGCGUUGUUCGGAUUCAUUGGGCGUAAAGGGUGCGUAGGCGGCGCGGUGAGUCGGAUGUGAAAUCUCGGAGCUUAACUCCGAAACUGCAUUCGAUACUGCCGUGCUUGAGGACUGGAGAGGAGACUGGAAUUUACGGUGUAGCGGUGAAAUGCGUAGAUAUCGUAAGGAAGACCAGUGGCGAAGGCGGGUCUCUGGGCUAUAACUGACGCUCAUGCACGAAAGCGUGGGGAGCAAACAGG
This 253-nucleotide ribosomal RNA is filed under the name uncultured bacterium. RNAcentral's name for it is "partial 16S ribosomal RNA". It matches the Rfam family "Bacterial small subunit ribosomal RNA", at positions 524 to 776 of the family's 1533-position model. The record is from RNAcentral.